Molecule: ribosomal RNA, 426 nt
Filed under: uncultured bacterium
Lineage: Bacteria
Description: bacterial SSU rRNA
Rfam family: Bacterial small subunit ribosomal RNA
Source: RNAcentral
UGCCAGCAGCCGCGGUAAUACGUAGGGCCCGAGCGUUAUCCGGAUUUAUUGGGCGUAAAGAGUAUGUAGGCGGUUUGGUAAGUUGGGUUUUAAAGGCCCGGGCUCAACUCGGGUUUUGGAUCCAAAACUGCCUUUCUAGAGAAUAGCAGGGGCAAGCGGAAUUAGCGGUGUAGCAGUGAAAUGCGUUGAUAUCGCUAAGAACACCAAUGGCGAAGGCAGCUUGCUAGGUUAUUUCUGACGCUGAGAUACGAAAGCGUGGGGAGCGAACGGGAUUAGAUACCCCGGUAGUCCACGCCGUAAACGAUGCAGACUAGGUAUCAGGAGUAUCGACCCUCCUUGUACCGAAGCUAACGCGUUAAGUCUGCCGCCUGGGAAGUACGGCCGCAAGGCUAAAACUCAAAGGAAUUGACGGGGGCCCGCACAAGC